UGGGCGUAAGCGCGCGCAGGUGGUUUCUUAAGUCUGAUGUGAAAGCCCACGGCUCAACCGUGGAGGGUCAUUGGAAACUGGGAGACUUGAGUGCAGAAGAGGAAAGUGGAAUUCCAUGUGUAGCGGUGAAAUGCGUAGAGAUAUGGAGGAACACCAGUGGCGAAGGCGACUUUCUGGUCUGUAACUGACACUGAGGCGCGAAAGCGUGGGGAGCAAACAGGAUUAGAUACCCUGGUAGUCCACGCCGUAAACGAUGAGUGCUAAGUGUUAGAGGGUUUCCGCCCUUUAGUGCUGAAGUUAACGCAUUAAGCACUCCGCCUGGGGAGUACGGCCGCAAGGCUGAAACUCACAGGAAUUGACGGGGGCCCGCACACGCGGUGGAGCAUGUGGUUUAAUUCAAAUCAACGCGAAGAACCUUACCAGGUCUUGACAUC
RNAcentral lists this ribosomal RNA (434 nucleotides) under Bacillus cereus. Its description in RNAcentral is "bacterial SSU rRNA". It matches the Rfam family "Bacterial small subunit ribosomal RNA", at positions 555 to 988 of the family's 1533-position model. The record is from RNAcentral. Lineage: Bacteria; Bacillati; Bacillota; Bacilli; Caryophanales; Bacillaceae.